Molecule: ribosomal RNA, 305 nt
Filed under: uncultured Peredibacter sp.
Lineage: Bacteria; Pseudomonadati; Bdellovibrionota; Bacteriovoracia; Bacteriovoracales; Bacteriovoracaceae
Description: bacterial SSU rRNA
Rfam family: Bacterial small subunit ribosomal RNA
Source: RNAcentral
GAGAGGUGCUGCAUGGCUGUCGUCGGCUCGUGUUGUGAAAUGUUGGGUUAAGUCUCGCAACGAGCGCAACCCCUAUCGUCUGUUGCCAGCAUUAAGUUGGCACUCUGACGAGACUGCCUGGGUUAACCAGGAGGAAGGUGGGGAUGACGUCAAGUCCUCAUGGCCCUUAUGUCUAGGGCUACACACGUAAUACAAUGGCGCGUACAAUGGGAAGCGAACUCGCAAGGGGGAGCAAAUCUCAAAGAGCGCGUCUCAGUUCGGAUUGAAGUCUGCAACUCGACUUCAUGAAGUUGGAAUCGCUAGUA